GUGCCUGUAGCUCAGUUGAAUAGAGCGUCGGUUUCCGAAGCCGGAGGUCAUGGGUUUGACUCCCAUCAGGCAUA
Molecule: transfer RNA, 74 nt
Filed under: Cyanobacteria bacterium SIG32
Lineage: Bacteria; Bacillati; Cyanobacteriota
Description: tRNA-Arg
Rfam family: tRNA
About the family: Transfer RNA (tRNA) molecules are approximately 80 nucleotides in length.
Source: RNAcentral